CCUACGGGUGGCAGCAGUGAGGAAUAUUGGUCAAUGGGCGAGAGCCUGAACCAGCCAAGUCGCGUGAAGGAUGACGGCCCUACGGGUUGUAAACUUCUUUUGUCAGGGAGCAAUUUGGUCCACGCGUGGGCUUAUCUAUAGUACCUGAAAAAAAAGCAUCGGCUAACUCCGUGCCAGCAGCCGCGGUAAUACGGGGGGUGCUGGCGUGAUCCGGAUUUAUUGGGGUUAAAGGGUGCGUAGGGGGACGAUAAAGUCAGCGGUAAUAAUUCGGGGCUCAACCCCGUCGUGCCGUGGAAACUGAUGUUCUUGAGUGGUCGAGAAGUAUGCGGAAUUCGUGGUGUAGCGGUGAAAUGCAUAGAUAUCACGCAGAACGCCGAUUGCGAAGGCAGCAUACUGGCGGCCAACUGACGCUGAAGCACGAAAGCGUGGGGAGCGAACAGGAUUAGAUACCCGAGUAGUC
RNAcentral lists this ribosomal RNA (460 nucleotides) under uncultured bacterium. Its description in RNAcentral is "partial 16S ribosomal RNA". It matches the Rfam family "Bacterial small subunit ribosomal RNA", at positions 338 to 795 of the family's 1533-position model. The record is from RNAcentral.